RNAcentral lists this transfer RNA (98 nucleotides) under Caminibacter mediatlanticus TB-2. Its description in RNAcentral is "tRNA-Sec". It matches the Rfam family "Selenocysteine transfer RNA". Lineage: Bacteria; Pseudomonadati; Campylobacterota; Epsilonproteobacteria; Nautiliales; Nautiliaceae. The record is from RNAcentral.
GGAGGGGAUGUGGACCUGGUGGCCACCCCGGGCUUCAAACCCGGUGGGGCGGCAGGUGACUGUCGCCCGGUAGGUUCGAUUCCUACCCCCUUCCGCCA